UCCCUGGUGGUCCAGUGGUUAAGACUCUGCACUUCCACUGCAGAGAACUCGAGUUCAAUCCCUGAUGGGGAG
Molecule: transfer RNA, 72 nt
Filed under: Bos taurus (domestic cattle)
Lineage: Eukaryota; Metazoa; Chordata; Mammalia; Artiodactyla; Bovidae
Also listed under: 5 other names
Rfam family: tRNA
About the family: Transfer RNA (tRNA) molecules are approximately 80 nucleotides in length. Their secondary structure includes four short double-helical elements and three loops (D, anti-codon, and T loops).
Source: Rfam by way of RNAcentral